GAACCUGCGGAGGGAUCAUUACACAAUAUGAAGGCGGGCUGGACACCUCUAGCCGGGCACUGCUUUACGGCGUGCGCGGCUCGGGCCGGCCCUGCUGAAUUAUUCACCCGUGUCUUUUGCGUACUUCUUGUUUCCUGGGUGGGCUUGCCCACCAUCAGGACCAACGAUAAACCUUUUGUACUAGCAAUCAGCGUCAGUAACAACGUAAUGAAAUUACAACUUUCAACAACGGAUCUCUUGGUUCUGGCAUCGAUGAAGAACGCAGCGAAAUGCGAUACGUAGUGUGAAUUGCAGAAUUCAGUGAAUCAUCGAAUCUUUGAACGCACAUUGCGCCCUUUGGUAUUCCAAAGGGCAUGCCUGUUCGAGCGUCAUUUGUACCCUCAAGCUUUGCUUGGUGUUGGGCGUCUUUUGUCUCCCGUUCGCUGGAGACUCGCCUUAAAGUCAUUGGCAGCCGGCCUACUGGUUUCGGAGCGCAGCACAAGUCGCGCUCUUGGCCAGCCAAGGUCGGCGUCCAGCAAGCCUUUUUUUUCUUCAACCUUUGACCUCGGAUCAGGUAGGGAUACCCGCUGAACUUAAGCAUAUCU
RNAcentral lists this ribosomal RNA (584 nucleotides) under Alternaria sp. TV-02. Its description in RNAcentral is "eukaryotic LSU rRNA". The stretch from base 218 to 371 matches the Rfam family "5.8S ribosomal RNA". The record is from RNAcentral. Lineage: Eukaryota; Fungi; Ascomycota; Dothideomycetes; Pleosporales; Pleosporaceae.